UGGGGAAUAUUGCACAAUGGGGGGAACCCUGAUGCAGCGACGCCGCGUGCGGGAUGACGGCCUUCGGGUUGUAAACCGCUUUCAGCAGGGACGAAUCUGACGGUACCUGCAGAAGAAGCGCCGGCUAACUACGUGCCAGCAGCCGCGGUAAUACGUAGGGCGCAAGCGUUGUCCGGAAUUAUUGGGCGUAAAGAGCUCGUAGGCGGCUUGUCGCGUCGGACGUGAAAGCUCGAGGCUUAACCUCGGGUCUGCGUUCGAUACGGGCAGGCUAGAGGCAGGUAGGGGAGAACGGAAUUCCCGGUGUAGCGGUGAAAUGCGCAGAUAUCGGGAGGAACACCGGUGGCGAAGGCGGUUCUCUGGGCCUGUACUGACGCUGAGGAGCGAAAGCGUGGGGAGCGAACAG
Molecule: ribosomal RNA, 403 nt
Filed under: uncultured bacterium
Lineage: Bacteria
Description: bacterial SSU rRNA
Rfam family: Bacterial small subunit ribosomal RNA
Source: RNAcentral